ACGGUGGUCCCACCUGACCCCAUGCCGAACUCAGAAGUGAAACGCCGUAGCGCCGAUGGUAGUGUGGGGUCUCCCCAUGCGAGAGUAGGGAACUGCCAGGC
Molecule: ribosomal RNA, 101 nt
Filed under: Escherichia coli
Lineage: Bacteria; Pseudomonadati; Pseudomonadota; Gammaproteobacteria; Enterobacterales; Enterobacteriaceae
Also listed under: 1 other name
Source: RNAcentral